RNAcentral lists this ribosomal RNA (445 nucleotides) under uncultured bacterium. RNAcentral's name for it is "partial 16S ribosomal RNA". It matches the Rfam family "Bacterial small subunit ribosomal RNA", at positions 354 to 796 of the family's 1533-position model. The record is from RNAcentral.
GUAGGGAAUAUUGGGCAAUGGAUGCAAGUCUGACCCAGCCAUCCCGCGUGCCGGAAGAAGGCCCUCAGGGUUGUAAACGGCUUUUGACGGUGAAGAAUCGACAGGAUGCGGCCUGUUUUGACGGUAGCCGUUGAAUAAGCACCGGCUAACUCCGUGCCAGCAGCCGCGGUAAUACGGAGGGUGCGAGCGUUGUCCGGAUUUAUUGGGUUUAAAGGGUGCGUAGGCUGGAAGGUCAGUCAGCGGUGAAAAGCUGUCGCUUAACGAUAGUCUUGCCGCAGAUACUUCCUUUCUUGGAUGAGGAGGAGGCCACUGGAACGGAUGGUGUAGCGGUGAAAUGCAUAGAUAUCAUCCAGAACACCGAUUGCGAAGGCAGGUGGCUGUACCUUAAUCGACGCUGAUGCACGAAAGCAUGGGGAGCAAACAGGAUUAGAUACCCUAGUAGUCC